Molecule: long non-coding RNA, 665 nt
Organism: Drosophila yakuba
Lineage: Eukaryota; Metazoa; Arthropoda; Insecta; Diptera; Drosophilidae
Exons: 2
Source: RefSeq, a predicted model, not a curated record
CUCCCUUUUGACUAUUUAAGUAAUUAAAUUAUAUAGCAUUAAUUACAAACAACACCUUUGGCCCUUCUUAAAAUUAAUGAAUUAUUUUAUAUUUUAUGAGUAUUUUUACCUGCCUGGGGUCACAACUAAAUUUUUUAUAAUAUAACUAAGUCGCAGUCUGAUCUUGUAUUGAGGUGAUAUAAACAUCAACAGACCACUGAGUAUACAAUUUUUGCCGUAGUAAAUAAGAUCUGUUUGAUAUAAAUAAGGUAUUUACUUUUCAUUUCUGCCAGACAAAGGUUCUCGUCUUAAAAAUCGCCUAAAUUUUAUGAAUUCGAAAACCGGAGCUCAGAUUUGAAAAUUGCAGACUUCAAAGUGUUUAGCCAUUGGUCCCCACUUUCACAGUGAAUGUGUUUUAAAGUAAGUUAUUUCCCUUUCCCACUCGCUGGCUCCAGCUGGUAAGCAAUGUUCCACUGAGCUGGGAGUCGGCUACUUACAUGCUGCAGCUUCAGACGACAGUAUGCAGAUGUGGGAGGGACAGCCGAAUUUCAGAAGCUGGGAAAUUAGGGCACCGUAAAUAACCAUCCAAGCCACCAACAUCAUCACAUUUUAAAUCAGGAAUAGGUUUAUGUUUGAUUAUUUCAUUAUUGUUAUUUCUUUUGGAUAACGAUGGUAACGAAGAAUCC